Molecule: long non-coding RNA, 2503 nt
Organism: Mandrillus leucophaeus (drill)
Lineage: Eukaryota; Metazoa; Chordata; Mammalia; Primates; Cercopithecidae
Exons: 6
Source: RefSeq, a predicted model, not a curated record
GGGGUCCCGGCGCUGAGCGCACUCAGCCGCACCGGGCACCCUGGCGCCUCGCUGAGUCGGAGCAACCCCCGGGAGGAGCUUUCAGGCUCUGGUCAAGGCUCGGGCCUCGGGAAGCUAUCCCUACCCUCGGGGGCUCGAGCCUGGCGUGGAGCUUGCAGAAAAGGAAAGGGGGCAGGCCUAAAGGCAAGAAGAGAAACCGCCUGAGGGACCUUGCUGUUCCGUGCUCCUACGACAGGGUACGUGAUAUUCCUGAACAAGCAGAGAAGUCGGCUGAGGGCCACACACCCCGAUCUGCCUUUCACGGAAAUCACAAAGGUGCUGGCUGCUCAGUGGGCUCAGCUGUCUGAGGACAAAAAGGGAGAGAUGAACACAAUGGCCUGUACUGUGGGACCCGCAGGCAGCUCUUCAGCUCCCUGCGCAACAAGAAGCAACCUGCUGCAGAGGCAGCACCUGCAGCGCCUCACAGGUAACCAGCCUGGGCCAGGCUGCUCAGCCACAAACACUGGCCUUGACUCCACCUGCACCAAAGGUCACCAACGGGCAGCCCACGUGACGCCUCUUGUUAUUAAAAUGCAAUUUUAAGACAGACUCUAGCCAAGCCCACUUAUCACCAGGUGGGUGUUUAGGACAGGAUAGGUCUUCCACUGUAUCUGUUUUCCUCUUAGUUCACCAGGCUCACCUGCUCUGGGCCCCCCAGGACACAGACCUCAGCUUCUCCUGGAGCCCUUGCUCACUUUAUUCCAACUCUACGAGCUCCUUAACUAUCCCAGAGGACCCCAGGCCCAUAGCCACCUCGGGUCCGGAUGCCGCAUUCUCUGACAUGUGGCACAUUCUGGGUGCCCAUGAUUAUGAUCAGGUUCUGUGCCCAUGUGGCCUCAGGGCUCUUGUGACCACCCUUCAUCCAGGUCUUUGCUCACCUGUCUCCUGCCCAAGGAUGCCACCCGGGUCACUGUGCAGACCUCCAGCCCCUGCCCAUUUCUCUUCAUGAUUGCAUCACCGCCUCGCAGCCUCUUCCACUUGCUCAUUCCUGGUGUUAUUGCCUAUCUCCCACUGGAAGAGAAGGCCCUCAAGUUCAGCUAUUGCUUUGUCUGUGAUGUUCACUGUGGUGAACCCCAGGCCUAGAACCACGCCUGGUACUCCCGGUAAGUGCUCCAUAAGUAUCCAAUGAGUGGACGAAUGAAUGAAUGUGUUCAACAAAUGACCCUGGAGCAUGUAUUCCUUCCAGGGACAGAGCGAGGUGCUAGGGACACAGGAAGGAUGAGGCAGAGCUCCGUGCUAAUGAAACUAAGGGCCAAGCAUGUGGAUGAAUAUGCACAUCCUGGCAUUAAAACAUCUUGCAUUCUAGUGAAAUGAGACCCAUUGGACACAGAGAGGCCCCACUACAACUGCAUCUGUGUAAAAUCAAGAGAACGAUCAUGAAAACAGCCGUGGCAGGGGAAUUCAAAAAAGAUUCUGCCGCAUACUCAAAGCACCCAGAGCCUCUGGAAGAAGAGAAAGGACGAGAUUCAAAUGAGGCUGAGUCAGAGGAGGAAGCUGAGGGCCCCGAAUCCCUUCCGCUCAGAAGUCUUCAUCCAGAGAGGAGUUUUGCUUCACUCGACUUGUGUUUCUCGCAAGGGUUUGUCUAUAGAUUGCUGAAAAGUGAGUAAUCAAGUUCAGCAACUCCCUGGCAACUGUGAUGACCUAGGGUUUAUAAUCCUAGUCAGAGUAACCUACAGAGAGGUUAUAAUAUGAGGUGGAACAAAACAGAAAAGUCGCUAGAGGAAUAACGAUAGUAAAAAUUAUAAUCAGAUGAAGAAUAAAGUUUUCAAUGAGGUACAGUUCUAAGCACUUCAUACAAAUAACCUGUCUUAAUUCUCAUAAAAGUACUGCGAGGCAGAUACUAAUAUCAUCUCCUUCUAAAGAUAAAAUGCAGCACAGAGAGGUUAAGUAACUUGUCCAAGGUUGAACAGCGAGUGAGUGGCCAAUCUGAGAUUUAAAUCCAGGCUGUCUGGGUCCAAGAACUCUGUUCUUCACUACUUCUCAACAAUGUCAACUAUGUAAAAUGACACACACACAUAAACCCACAUCAGUGGUAAUGGUGGUUAUCCCUGGCCGGCAAGAUGAAAGAAGAUGUUACGUAAUUCUUCAGUCCUUUCUGUGUCUGCCACAUUUUCCCCAAUGGAUAGAUGUCAAUUAAACUAUCAGAGGAAGAAACAAACUCUAUUAAAAAUGAUUUCAAGGGCUGGGCAAGGUGGGUUACACCUGUAAUCCUAGCAUUUUGGGAAGCCGAGGUUGACGGAUCACCUGAGGUCAGGAGUUCAAGACCAGCCUGGCCAACAUGGCAAAACCCUGUCUCUACUAAAAAUACAAAAAAAUUAGCUGGGCAUAGUGGCACAUGCCUAUAAUCCCAGCUACUUGGGAGGCUGAGGCAGGAGAAUCGCUUGAACCUGGGAGGUGGAGGUUGCAGCGAGCCAAGAUCACACCACUGCACUUAAGCCUGGGUGACAUAGCAAGGUUUCAUCUC